This 253-nucleotide ribosomal RNA is filed under the name uncultured bacterium. RNAcentral's name for it is "partial 16S ribosomal RNA". It matches the Rfam family "Bacterial small subunit ribosomal RNA", at positions 524 to 776 of the family's 1533-position model. The record is from RNAcentral.
UACAGGGGGGGCAAGCGUUGUCCGGAAUCACUGGGCGUAAAGGGCGCGUAGGCGGCCUGAUAAGUAGGGGGUGAAAUCCUGCGGCUUAACCGCAGGGCUGCCUUCUAAACUGUCAGGCUUGAGCACAGUAGAGGCAGGUGGAAUUCCCGGUGUAGCGGUGGAAUGCGUAGAGAUCGGGAAGAACAUCAGUGGCGAAGGCGGCCUGCUGGGCUGUUGCUGACGCUGAGGCGCGACAGCGUGGGGAGCAAACAGG